UACGUAGGGCGCGAGCGUUGUCCGGAAUUAUUGGGCGUAAAGAGCUCGUAGGCGGCCGGUUGCGUCUGCUGUGAAAUCCCGGGGCUUAACCCCGGGCGUGCAGUGGAUACGGGCCGGCUGGAGGCAGGCAGGGGAGAAUGGAAUUCCCGGUGUAGCGGUGGAAUGCGCAGAUAUCAGGAGGAACACCAAUAGCGAAGGCAGCUCGCUGGGACGGUACUGACGCUAAGGCGCGAAAGCUAGGGGAGCGAACAGG
Molecule: ribosomal RNA, 253 nt
Filed under: uncultured bacterium
Lineage: Bacteria
Description: partial 16S ribosomal RNA
Rfam family: Bacterial small subunit ribosomal RNA
Source: RNAcentral